RNAcentral lists this ribosomal RNA (491 nucleotides) under Sticta filix. RNAcentral describes it as "partial large subunit ribosomal RNA". It matches the Rfam family "Eukaryotic large subunit ribosomal RNA", at positions 83 to 577 of the family's 3401-position model. The record is from RNAcentral. Lineage: Eukaryota; Fungi; Ascomycota; Lecanoromycetes; Peltigerales; Lobariaceae.
GUAACGGCGAGUGAAGCGGCAACAGCUCAAAUUUGAAAUCUGGCCUCUUCGGGGUCCGAGUUGUAAUUUGUAGAGGGUGUUUCGGGCGCGAUGCCGGUCUAAGUUCUUUGGAACAGGACGUCGUAGAGGGUGAGAAUCCCGUAUGCGACCGGCGAUCAAGCCUGUGUGAAGCCCCUUCGACGAGUCGAGUUGUUUGGGAAUGCAGCUCAAAAUGGGUGGUAAAUUUCAUCUAAAGCUAAAUAUUGGCCAGAGACCGAUAGCGGACAAGUAGAGUGAUCGAAAGAUGAAAAGCACUUUGGAAAGAGAGUCAAACAGUACGUGAAAUUGUUGAAAGGGAAGCGCUUGCAAUCAGACCGGUCCGGAGGCGAUCAGCCGCUGCUCGUCAGCGGUGCACUCGCCUGCGAUCCGGCCAGCAUCGGUUUGGGCGGUGGGAUAAAAGUCCCGGGAAUGUAGCUUCUUUCGGGGAGUCUUAUAGCCCGGGUCGCAAUGCC